Non-coding RNA from Medicago truncatula (barrel medic), 74 nucleotides. The record is from Rfam. Lineage: Eukaryota; Viridiplantae; Streptophyta; Magnoliopsida; Fabales; Fabaceae.
UCCCGAGGUUUUCCUCGGCAGUUAACUGCAGCCGGAUUUCUAAAACUUCGGCAGUUAACUGUCGAGAAGGUAAA